This 397-nucleotide ribosomal RNA is filed under the name uncultured bacterium. RNAcentral's name for it is "partial 16S ribosomal RNA". It matches the Rfam family "Bacterial small subunit ribosomal RNA", at positions 523 to 918 of the family's 1533-position model. The record is from RNAcentral.
AUACGUAGGUGACAAGCGUUAUCCGGAUUUACUGGGCGUAAAGGGCGUGUAGGCGGUCUUGCAAGUCAGAAGUGAAAUUCCCGGGCUUAACUUGGGCGCUGCUUCUGAAACUGCUUUACUUGAGUGCUGGAGAGGAUAGUGGAAUUCCUAGUGUAGCGGUAAAAUGCGCAGAUAUUAGGAGGAACACCGGUGGCGAAGGCGGCUAUCUGGACAGUAACGUACGCUGAGGCGCGAAAGCGUGGGGAGCAAACAGGAUUAGAUACCCUGGUAGUCCACGCCGUAAACGUUGAAUACUAGGUGUAGGGGGUAUCGACUCCCUCUGUGCCGCAGUUAACACAAUAAGUAUUCCGCCUGGGGAGUACGGCCGCAAGGUUGAAACUUAAAUGAAUUGACGGGG